GCAGGAGCUGACACAGCCUCACCAGCCCAUGCUCGGCCAGACUAGGGAGCAUCGGCCGCUUGUUCCAUCCUGUGCUUGUCUGCCUGCCUCUCUGUCAUGAGACGCAUUCGAAGAGUCCUGGGCCCAAAAGCAACUCACAGUCCAGGAAGACGUCCAGGCCUUGGGUGACGCUCAGUCUCAGUAAAUGGCCCUGGCUGGCAGGUGGUGGUGGGAGGGACCCAGUUAAAGCAUGUGGAUGAUCCGAACAACACAAGAAUAAGCUAGAAUGUGAAGCAGAGUCAAUCUUAUCAGUUAAUAAAGUCAAGUUGUUGAUUCAGAGAAGAUUGGCCCUGAGAGGAUUUCAGGAGCAGCAGUGUCAUCAGAGCCGAGGCUUCAUUUGUGGUUGUUACCACAAACUCUUGGCUGAACCCAGAGGUGGACAAGAUUUGGGUAUGUCUGCAGGGAAGGAAGCAGUGGUGGUGGAGAGGUAUUUAUGGGUUUUAAGAUUUAAAUAAAAGAAAAAACCACAUUGUCAUCUGAAAGAAGAUAAAUGGCAAAUUGUUGAAGCGACAGGCCCCUAGGGACUAAUUACUCUUCCGCAGUAAUUCAGGAACUUCACCAGUGACUUACAUUGACUUAACAUGUCAAAUGUCAGUUCUGUGUUAUGAAAUAAAAAUACAUGUUCUUUUAGUGUAAACAAUACAGAAAUGUUCUCAGAUGUCCCAAGUUGUUAGUCAUGUGGGACAGAUUCAGUGCCCUAUGAUGCAUGUCCACGGCUCUGUGCCUGAGGUUACAAAGUGUAACAGGGCAGCUUUAUAGUUAAAAUCCAAGUAGACACCUUGUUCAUCUGGGGGCUGAGGAGCACCCACACCACCCCUCGGAGACAUUCAUGUUGCACCUUCAGAAUGCAAGAGUGAUCAUGAAUAAGUGUUCCUGACACUCCAUUCUCCAAUCUUCAUUCUACUUUGGUUUUGGGGAGGUUGUUGCAGGACAUUGAUGGGGAGACCGCUGGCCAGCUGUGCCCCUGGUAGGGUUUCAGCCAGUAGCAGGGUGGCAAAGCUUACAGCACUGCGCUACAUGGUGUGAGCUGCUUUGGUUUCUCAUGGGGUAUCACCACAGGUCAAAUACAAUGUGUCUGCAAACCAGGCCGAGAAGCUGGUGCACAGCUCACACGCUACACAUGCUAACUCAAUUGAAAUAGGCUUUCAGCAACAGGUGCACACUAGUGCUUAUUCUACACGAGGCUCCAUGCAGGUCAUAGAGGGCUAAGGUUCUGUGUUCCGUAGAGCAGGCCCUGUCUUGCUGCUUCUUCUCUGUGGCUUGGCUCAAGGUCUAACAGUUUACAGAAACCCAAUCACUGUUGGUUGGCUUGAAGACAGGAUCUCUGCCUACAAACUUUUCAUAGUUUAGGAGAAAAAUCCUAUUAAUCAUCCAAGGUUCAACCAAGAAGAGAGGUCACUCUAAGUAUUUAUAACAGAGGACUCUCAUUGCCCAGGUUAUAGGAAGACUUUGAGGCCAGAGCACAGUGACAUUGGAGGGAGCCGCAACCCUCCCUGGGUUGAAGGAACUAAGGAGAAUGUGGCAGAAUUGGCCGGAAGCAGAAUUGCCUGUUUCCAGUGAGGCCCCCUUGCCCUCUUGGAAGCAAUUGCUGUGUAGGAAGUCUGAACACCUCACAGGAGAUGGAGGCCAGUUCCUGCCUGCUGUAGCCACCCAGCUGAAGGGGGUCCAGACACGAGUGGAGGCAUUGUGACCUCCAGCCUCAGCAGACACCUCCACACUGCGCAGGGCAGAGCAACCACGCCACCGAGUGAGCCCCAUUUGCAGACUUUGAGCAAAUAAUGAUUGUGCACGUUGGAUCAUUUAUUGAGUUUCUCUCGUACACCAAGCACUGGUUGGAUCCCAUGCUUGUUGGUGACAGAACUGCUGUGAUGCCAGUCCUGCGUCCCCUUCAGCCUGUGAAGGAGGAGCACCAUGAACCAGCCAACUAACACGUGUCUAAUCACAUAAAGGGAACUGAACACCAGAGAGCCACAGUCACUUUCCGAAGGUCACACAGCAAGUGCAAAUGAGGCCUCAUCCUCAGGGCUGGGUUCCAGGCCUGCUGGGCAGGUCGGUUACUGCUGCACAAAAUUUCUGUUAUCCUAAAAUUGUUUCAGACAAGCACCAAAGGACGUCCCAUAGUUCUGCUUGACUAAGGUUUAAUGAAGUUAAUGUUCAUACUUUCCACUCUAUUUUUCCACUCUUUAAGGAUCCAAAUUUUCUUGGUGUAGCUGCGUAUAAAAGUUUAACUAUUACAGAGAUAACCACAAAAUUUGAUGAGGCUUCAUUGAGUGGAAAACACUGUAGUCCAAAUAAAUGCAGAAAUCAUUGGUUUGGGAACCAAGGGAUAAAAUGCUCCCAGCUGUGGCAGUUCCUCUUCUACCUUCUUUGAGUGAAUUUGCAACACAGAAAAAGGCUGAUGAAGCUGAGACAUUGAUUAUCAAAGUGCCUUCACUUCCCAGAACCAUCUGACGCAAGAUAGAAUCCAGCUAUGCUUAAUCACCACUUACACAGCACUUUCUGAAAUGCUUUCUACAUCUUAGGGUAGGUUUUAUUUUCUCUUAAUGGAGGGGUUUUCCCAGGCUUGUAGGGGACAUAGUCUUCUCUGUCCCUUCCUUAUCUUGGCUUCUUCUUUGUUUUUAUUGUGGUAAAAUACACAAAGCAUGAUGUUGACUGGGUUAACCAUUUUUAAGCAUACAAUUCAGUGGUAUUAAAUUUACUCAUAAUAUUGUGCCCCCAUCACCACCAUCUAUCUCCACAACUCUUUUUAUCUUAUAAAAUGGAAACUCUGUACUCAUUAAACAACAAGUCUCCAUUCUCUUCUCCACUCACCUCUGGCAACCACUGUUCUUUCUGUCUCUAUGAUUUUAUGAAGUACUCUGUGUACCUCAUGUCAGUGGAAUCAUACAGUAUUUGUCCUUCUGUAACUGGCUUAUUUCACUUGAGCACAGUGUUCUCAGAGUUCAUCCUUCGUAUACCACGUGUCAGCAUUUUCUUCCUUUUUAAAGCUGAAUAAUAUUCCAUUGCAUGUAUAGACCACAUUUUGCUUAUCCAUUUAUGUAUUGAUGGACACUUGAGUUGCUUCCACUUCUUGGCUGUUGUGAAUAAUGAUAUUAUAAACAGGGAUAUGCAAAAGCCUCUUCAAGUCCUUGCUUUUAAUUCUUUUGGGUAUGUACACAGUAGUGGAGUUCAGGAUCAUAUGGUAAUUCUGUGUUUAAUUUUUUGAGGGUCUGCCAUACUGUUUUCCAGUGGCUGCACCAUUUUACAUUCCUUGUGCAAACAAUGCACAAGGGUUCCAAUUUCUCUAUAUUCUUGCCAACAUCUGUUAGUUUCUGUUUUCUUCCUGGUAGCCAUCAUUAUGGGUGUGGAGUGGUCUCUUGGCUCCUUCUUGACAGGGGUUCUCUUUGGAAUCCGUACCUGCCAGCCAGGAUCCCUGUCUACUGGCUGCUCCUUGGUCCUGUGGAGCUUUGCUCCUGCACUCUGCCAAGCUCUGAGGCUGGCCUCUGUUUAGGCUGCUGAUAGACACCUGUCUUCAUGCUAAGGCCUAGCUGACUGGCUGAGCCAACCUACUCCUCCAGGGCCUGCCCAACCCUGAUGGGUGCCUGACGCAGGCCUGGAACAUCUUGCUGCCUUCUCGUACUCACAGCUUAGGAAGCAAAAAGCAAGCCAGGUGUUCAUACUUCUCUGCUGGGGACAUAACAAAUGGCAUGACAAAUACUAAAGCAAUAAAUGAACUGAAAAAUAAAUGAGUUGGCAAUUAUUUAUCACAGAAUUAUCUGAGAUGGUAUUUCAAAUUAUUUCUCCCCUUAAAAAAAAGGAUAUUUUUUUACGGCAUGAAGAGUCAAAUGUAAAAGUAAAGAAAUGAAAACAAUCAGAUGGAGAGAGAUGAAUAUUUAUCAGAUUCCAGGAUGAACAUGGGCUUUGUAAUUGUAAUUCUUUGGGGAAAAUUAAUUCACCAGAAGCCCCCCUGGGAAGGGCAUGGUAAUUGCUGAAAAGAUGCCUGAUAAGCCACAUACACGGGAGGGAGAUUCCCUUAGGAAGGGCAAAGGGAUUGCAAAACUGCCUUCCAGAAAGCUGAGGACCUUGCUAAUGAGCUGACUUUAUGUUCUGCUAAGAGCUGGUAGAUGGUUUAGGGACAAAUAUCAGGCACUGUGCAAUGGAGGGGAGGGAAUUUGAGGUUUUGGUGGGGUUCAGGAAGAUACCCUGGGGGGAAUUCAUUUGUAUUUCAUAAAAAUUAAUAACUUCUGAAAACAGCAACAACAAAAAUGUACCAUGAGCAGAAAUAAGAGUACUUAAGAAACUAAGAGAAAUGUUUUCAGCAAAGAUGAAUAAAGUUUAGUUGGUAUAUUUUCAGCACUCCCUAUGAAAGGCACUCAGACUCCUGAAGAAAAUUGUUCAAGGUCAUUAGAUAAGUCAGGGGCCCCUGAGAAAAAGAGCAGAAGAUGGGAGGAUUUUAUUCAGGGAAAUGGGGGGUGAGAGGGAAGAGAGGGGAGGACUGACAGAAAGCUUGACUCCAGAGAGAGAGAGAGAAAGUUGGGAGGGAGUGCGCUGGACACCCUGGGGAUUCCAGGAACACCAGAAAGAGGACUCUCCAGUUCCAGGAGCUGGGCCUUGGUCUCCCAGCCAUGCCCUGGUGAGUGGGAGCCGCCCCUGGGCAGCGUGGCCUCAGUCCCAGUGCAGCCUUGGUUUCCCAGCAGCAGCGGGGCCUGGGUCAUCUAUACUUUCUGUGGUUGGAGUCUUGAGGUGCAUUUUGUCGGCCAGCACAGAUGUGACAAGAGAGUCCCAAAGGAAGGCAGGCAGAUGGCUGAGGAGCAUUUCUGUAGGGUGUCCUCAGCCCUCUGAGAAAGCUUCCCACAGCAAAGUUCCGUGCUGAGGCAUAGAGACCUUCCGCACUGUCCUCAGGGCCUAAACUAUGUAACCACAGCAGAAUCAAAGAUCUCCAAAUCUCAAGCACAGUCCCUUAGUGCACCUCCCCAUCCUGUGGUUGUCCAACCUGUGUCUGAAUACCUCCCAUAACAGGGUGCUCAUUCACUUCUGUGACAUUUCU
Molecule: long non-coding RNA, 5065 nt
Filed under: Homo sapiens (human)
Lineage: Eukaryota; Metazoa; Chordata; Mammalia; Primates; Hominidae
Description: non-protein coding lnc-ZNF485-68:26
Source: RNAcentral